Non-coding RNA from Microcebus murinus (gray mouse lemur), 1112 nucleotides. Lineage: Eukaryota; Metazoa; Chordata; Mammalia; Primates; Cheirogaleidae. The record is from RefSeq and is a predicted model, not a curated record.
CUGUACUUCCGCCCGCGCUGCAAGAGCGGAGCUUCCUGGUGGUGUGGCGGCUGGGUCGGGGUGCCUCGCGGUUCCGACCCAUCUCCCGGCAUCUGCAGCCAUCGCGUGUUUUCCCGCUCUGUCUGCCGGGUCUCCGCCGCCGCUCGACGCCAGGGCGCCGGGAGGAGGCAUCUUGGUGCAGAGGGACCCGUGAGAGGUGUCUCAGUCCUGCCAGGAAGCAGUUGGACCAUGGUACUCCUGGGGUGAGUUCUGUCCUCUGGCGAUCGGGGCUUUGUGUCCCACGAGGGUGCGUGCAGGUUCCCUGGGCAUGAUGUAGUCUGGGAAGGAGGUAGAGACGAAAUGAGGUGGCUUUGUCCUGGCCUCCAGUGUUACCCUCUUUGGGGUCAUCAGGAAUGCAUUUCAUUUUUCUUUAUGUACCUUCUGGAGUGUAGAGUCUUUGGGGACCUUUACAUGGGUGUGUCAGCAGCAGAAUUUCUGAAUUGGAGGCAGGAGGGAUUUUGGCAUCAAAUUCACCUGUACCCAGGUCUCAAUCACUUCACUGUCACCUCCUAGCUUUGGGACCUUCUCUGAUCCUCGGUUUCCUCAUCUGGAAAAGAGAAAUGCAGUGAGGAGUGUCACAUGAUGCUGCUCCAUGUACAUCAUGAGAGGUGUCCUCAGGGAGAGCAUGGAUUGUGAGGUCCCAGGUCUCAGCCUUAGAUGCAGAGACUAUGCAAGGAAGUCCCAAGGCCUUGGAGUCAGUGACCCUUGGGAUGACCUAGCCCUCUGGGUUUGCCGAUAAUUUUUACCAUGAAUCUCUUGGGGGUGUUCAUGGACACCAGAGGGGCAGAGAAUGGAGUCUGAGGUUGCCACGUGAAGUGUCACCAGAGCCUCUCCCUGCUGCCUGCUCAGAGCAUCAUGGAACAGCUGUACACUCUGCACAAGAAUUGGCAUCUGGACAUGGGAGACCUCAGCUAGCUCUGAGCUUUGACAGCAGUGUCUCCCACAGGGCCGUGAACAGGGAAGGCCAGCCCCAUGUCCCCCUGCCUGCACCUGCGAUGAUUUUUUAGUAACUAAGACUUUUUGUUUUGAAUUUGUAGCUGUUAACAGCCGUUUAAUAAACCUUACAGACUUGC